This 109-nucleotide small nuclear RNA is filed under the name Sciurus vulgaris (Eurasian red squirrel). The record is from RNAcentral. Lineage: Eukaryota; Metazoa; Chordata; Mammalia; Rodentia; Sciuridae.
GUGCUCGCUUCAGCAGCACAUAUACUAAAAAAUUGGAACGAUACAGAGAAGAUUAGUAUGGCCCCUGCACAAGGAUGACAUGGAAAUUCACGAAGUGUUCCAUAUUUUU